GUAGCUUGCUACUUUGCUGACGAGCGGCGGACGGGUGAGUAAUGCUUGGGAACAUGCCUUGAGGUGGGGGACAACAGUUGGAAACGACUGCUAAUACCGCAUAAUGUCUACGGACCAAAGGGGGCUUCGGCUCUCGCCUUUAGAUUGGCCCAAGUGGGAUUAGCUAGUUGGUGAGGUAAUGGCUCACCAAGGCAACGAUCCCUAGCUGGUUUGAGAGGAUGAUCAGCCACACUGGAACUGAGACACGGUCCAGACUCCUACGGGAGGCAGCAGUGGGGAAUAUUGCACAAUGGGCGAAAGCCUGAUGCAGCCAUGCCGCGUGUGUGAAGAAGGCCUUCGGGUUGUAAAGCACUUUCAGUCAGGAGGAAAGGGUGUGAGUUAAUACCUCACAUCUGUGACGUUACUGACAGAAGAAGCACCGGCUAACUCCGUGCCAGCAGCCGCGGUAAUACGGAGGGUGCGAGCGUUAAUCGGAAUUACUGGGCGUAAAGCGUACGCAGGCGGUUUGUUAAGCGAGAUGUGAAAGCCCCGGGCUCAACCUGGGAACUGCAUUUCGAACUGGCAAACUAGAGUGUGAUAGAGGGUGGUAGAAUUUCAGGUGUAGCGGUGAAAUGCGUAGAGAUCUGAAGGAAUACCGAUGGCGAAGGCAGCCACCUGGGUCAACACUGACGCUCAUGUACGAAAGCGUGGGGAGCAAACGGGAUUAGAUACCCCGGUAGUCCACGCCGUAAACGAUGUCUACUAGAAGCUCGGAACCUCGGUUCUGUUUUUCAAAGCUAACGCAUUAAGUAGACCGCCUGGGGGAGUACGGCCGCAAGGUUAAAACUCAAAUGAAUUGACGGGGGCCCGCACAAGCGGUGGAACAUGGUGGUUUAAUUCGAUGCAACGCGAAGAACCUUACCUACACUUGACAUACAGAGAACUUUCUAGAAAAUAGAUUGGUGCCUUCGGGAACUCUGAUACAGGUGCUGCAUGGCUGUCGUCAGCUCGUGUUGUGAAAAAUUUUGGGUUAAGUCCCGCAACGAGCGCAACCCCUAUCCUUAGUUGCUAGCAGGUAAUGCUGAGAACUCUAAG
This 1074-nucleotide ribosomal RNA is filed under the name marine bacterium AK3_006. RNAcentral's name for it is "bacterial SSU rRNA". It matches the Rfam family "Bacterial small subunit ribosomal RNA", at positions 75 to 1144 of the family's 1533-position model. The record is from RNAcentral.